CCGGGUUGCUUUAACCCAUGCAAGUCGAACGGUCACUUCGGUGAUAGUGGCGGACGGGUGAGUAACGCGUGAGAAUCUAGCUCUAGGUCGGGGACAACCACUGGAAACGGUGGCUAAUACCGGAUGAGCCGAAAGGUAAAAGAUUAAUUGCCUAGAGAUGAGCUCGCGUCUGAUUAGCUAGUAGGUGUGGUAAGAGCGCACCUAGGCGACGAUCAGUAGCUGGUCUGAGAGGAUGAUCAGCCACACUGGGACUGAGACACGGCCCAGACUCCUACGGGAGGCAGCAGUGGGGAAUUUUCCGCAAUGGGCGAAAGCCUGACGGAGCAAUACCGCGUGAGGGAGGAAGGCUCUUGGGUUGUAAACCUCUUUUCUCAGGGAAUAAGAACUGAAGGUACCUGAGGAAUAAGCAUCGGCUAACUCCGUGCCAGCAGCCGCGGUAAUACGGAGGAUGCAAGCGUUAUCCGGAAUGAUUGGGCGUAAAGGGUCCGCAGGUGGCCUUGUAAGUCUGCUGUUAAAGAGUGAGGCUUAACCUCAUAAAAGCAGUGGAAACUACAAAGCUAGAGUGCGUUCGGGGUAGCAGGAAUUCCUGGUGUAGCGGGAAAUGGGGUAG
Molecule: ribosomal RNA, 610 nt
Filed under: Nostoc calcicola ISB95
Lineage: Bacteria; Bacillati; Cyanobacteriota; Cyanophyceae; Nostocales; Nostocaceae
Description: bacterial SSU rRNA
Rfam family: Bacterial small subunit ribosomal RNA
Source: RNAcentral